This 490-nucleotide ribosomal RNA is filed under the name uncultured bacterium. RNAcentral's name for it is "partial 16S ribosomal RNA". It matches the Rfam family "Bacterial small subunit ribosomal RNA", at positions 30 to 507 of the family's 1533-position model. The record is from RNAcentral.
AUUGAACGCUGGCGGCAGGCCUAACACAUGCAAGUCGAACGGUAACAGGAAGAAGCUUGCUUCUUUGCUGACGAGUGGCGGACGGGUGAGUAAUGUCUGGGAAACUGCCUGAUGGAGGGGGAUAACUACUGGAAACGGUAGCUAAUACCGCAUAACGUCGCAAGACCAAAGAGGGGGACCUUCGGGCCUCUUGCCAUCGGAUGUGCCCAGAUGGGAUUAGCUAGUAGGUGGGGUAACGGCUCACCUAGGCGACGAUCCCUAGCUGGUCUGAGAGGAUGACCAGCCACACUGGAACUGAGACACGGUCCAGACUCCUACGGGAGGCAGCAGUGGGGAAUAUUGCACAAUGGGCGCAAGCCUGAUGCAGCCAUGCCGCGUGUAUGAAGAAGGCCUUCGGGUUGUAAAGUACUUUCAGCGGGGAGGAAGGGAGUAAAGUUAAUACCUGUACUCAUUGACGGUACCCGCAGAAGAAGCACCGGCUAACUCCGUG